This 253-nucleotide ribosomal RNA is filed under the name uncultured bacterium. RNAcentral describes it as "partial 16S ribosomal RNA". It matches the Rfam family "Bacterial small subunit ribosomal RNA", at positions 524 to 776 of the family's 1533-position model. The record is from RNAcentral.
UACGUAGGGGGCGAGCGUUGUCCGAAGUUACUGGGCGUAAAGAGCGCGUAGGCUGGUCUUUAAGUGAGUGGUGAAAGGUUCGGGCUCAACCCGGACACUGCCUUUCAUACUGGGGACCUUGAGUGUGGGAGAGGCGAGUGGAAUGGUCGGUGUAGCGGUGAAAUGCGUAGAUAUCGAUCGGAACACCCAUGGCGAAGGCAGCUCGCUGGCCUAACACUGACGCUGAGGCGCGAAAGCUAGGGGAGCAAACAGG